Molecule: non-coding RNA, 73 nt
Organism: Podarcis lilfordi (Lilford's wall lizard)
Lineage: Eukaryota; Metazoa; Chordata; Lepidosauria; Squamata; Lacertidae
Source: the annotation of a GenBank genome assembly
GCUGGAAUAGCUCAGUCAGUAGAGCAUUAGAAUUUUAAUCUCAGGAACGUGAGUUUGAACCCCCUGUUGGGCA